UGCAUGCCUGUGAGACCCUUUAAGUUGUGA
This 30-nucleotide non-coding RNA is filed under the name Homo sapiens (human). Lineage: Eukaryota; Metazoa; Chordata; Mammalia; Primates; Hominidae. The record is from RNAcentral.